AUGGAAUAAGGAAUAAAAUUCAAAAUCAUCAUGAUGAUAUGCAAAAAUUAAUUCAUUUAUUUUCGGUGUCGUAAUAAAAUUUUAUUUAUUGUGUUAUAUAAUAAUCUUUUCUUAUACUAAAAAUAUAUAAAGUUAUUUUGAACAUCCGUUAUUCUUCGGGAAUCCGUUCUUGUUGGACAGGUUUUGCAAGAUGGUAAUCCAGAAACUUACCAGUUCCACCAUUUCAUAGUUCCUUUCUUCUUCACAAAGUUUUGCCGGCGAAUCCCACCAUAAAUAUCAUUCAAAACUGUACAGGUUUCCAAAGCUGGAAAUUUUUGUAGUUGCGUGAAAAAAUGCACCCUAGAGUACAUUUUUCUUCCUGUUGUUGUUGUUUUUUCUUCCUUAAACCUUCGUACUUUGUCGGCUUCUAACUAUAUUUUUUAUGUAUUCCAUUUACAUCAUACUGUUUAAAAGAAAACUGAUGUUUUUCCUUCACAUCUUAUGUGUAAACAGCAGAUUUCCCCAGCGAGUUGCAAGCUCUCUCCGGAAAUUGCGAUCAAUUAUCGAUAUUUUUUCCUUUGAUCAAAUAGAUCUAAUAAGAUUAUUAGAUUGCAGUUUUUAUCCUCAACCAAUGCAUCCUUCACGUUAAAAAGUAAGAGUAAUUAGUUUUCAUGGAAUUUCACAAGUUUCAAUCAUCCUAAUGGGAGAUGUAGUGUUAUCAUUAUAGAUUUCAGUAUUCAUUCUUUAUUAUUCUCACAAACGAUCUUCAAUAAAGACUGCACUCACUCUAAUUAGUGCGAUGGGAAAAUUACAGAUACAACUCGGACCUUAGACUGGCGAAAGCCAUUUAUCAGAUAAAUAGCAGAUUGAACGAUUCGUAAAUUCAGCUAUUGCAGUAGAGUUUGAUUCGUUAUGUUUACCUCUUUAUUUCGUCUGUCUUUUUUUUUUUUCGUUGCCAUUCUCCGAGGUUAACGUUCGAGUAGAGAGGAUUUUAUUACAUUUCACGCGCGACGCAAAUUUCGCAACGUAUUUUUGAGUAAUGCGACGCGAUUAUCAGGCGGAACUAUCGAUUUUCGAAAAAAGUUAUUAGAUCUCAAUAUAAAAUUCAUCGAAACAAUUAAAUUUUUUUUCAUGGUUGAAAAUCGCUUUAUAAUGACCGAAUAUUAUUUUUUCGAAUACUUAUUUUGGAAAUUAUACAAUUUGUUUCGUUCUUCCGUUCCAUUUUUUUUUUUUUAAUUGAAUUUUGAAAGUACU
This 1233-nucleotide long non-coding RNA is filed under the name Androctonus crassicauda. Lineage: Eukaryota; Metazoa; Arthropoda; Arachnida; Scorpiones; Buthidae. The record is from RNAcentral.